CACACGCAUAUAUUAGGAAGGUAAAUCAAUGAAAGUGAUGUUCAGGAAAAGCAAAUGGUAAGAUUCUAGGGCAUAUUAAGAAGUGGCAGACACGGAGGGAGGCCAAGUGGAAGAAUUUGUGUUGAAUUCAGUACUUUGUUUUCACCUUUAAAAGUUUGAAGGUUUGAAAGCCUUGCUAAUCUUCGAUCUCUCUCUGAAUGAAUACAGAAAUUAGAGGUGGAAAAAUGGUCAGGCAGACUUGCAAUAGACCAGGUAAGAGGUAAUGGUAGGUCUGGAACUAAAGGUAAGGCAGGCAGAAUUUAAAAGAGCUUGGCUGAAAGAUGAUGUGGAAGCAGAAUCUACAGAAUUUGGCAAUUGAUUAAUUGGAUUUCUAGUCAGAGGGGGUAACACAAGAAUACAUGAGGGAAGAAGAGAAAAAUCAAAGGUAGUGGAGGUUUUGAGUUUGGUGAUAAGUAUAGAAGAUGGAGAAAAAGACAAAACUAGGCAUAGGAACUGCUUUUUAAGGAAUCACUUGGGAUUUGGACAUCUUAUGAGUUUGAAAGGUUGUUAGAAAUGGACACUAAGAAAUUAGAUGUAAAGAUUUUGAAGGAAGGGAAAGUAGAUUGAACUGGAAAAAUAGAUUGGGGGGUUAUCCUCCUAGCAGUGCUAUCACUGUGAGAAAAAAAAAGAAAACAAAGGGCAGAAUCUUGGAGAGCAGCUUUUUAGAAAAUUGUUGCUCCAAGUGUGGUUAAGGGCCUAGCAGCACUGGCAACACCAGGUCUCAGGCCUCCCCGACCCCCAGACAUGCUAAAUCAGACCUUUUAUUUAACAAGAACCCCAGGUGAUUUAUAUCACAUUAAAACUAGAGAAGCUCAGACCUAGUUGAGAAAAGCCAACGAAUAAAGGAGGGAACUAAUCUAGAUAGAGAAGCCAGCCAAGAAAGAGAGGAGGAAGUAGGAGGAGAACCACAGUAAUGGGGAAUCACCAAAGCAAGAUAAAUUGGAGUGUCACAAAGAUGGGCAGGAAGAAAUGGUGAUUACAAUAUCCAAAACCGAAGAGGUGGACUAGCCUAAGGAAAGAAGCUGGAUUAUGCAGAUGACUGCAUGUCCCCCAGAGUUGGCAGGACCACCAGAAAGAAGGUGCAGGGAUGCAGGAGAGCUGCCCACAGAUCUGGAACACCCACUCAGGAUUAUUCUAGCUAUUUGAAUUCUGGAACACUCUGGGCAGUGAGGGGACUUGUUUUUACCAAUGAGACCAGGAGCUAAAACUAGAAGAAGAAAACAGUCUUUGAGCACAAGGCAACAGCCUGGGUCUUAGGUAAGACAGUCAGGGUCAACAGCAACAGAGGAAAGAAUCAAAGAACAAAAUUAGCAUCAUAUAAGAAAAACUGGGGAGUUCCCGUCGUGGCGCAGUGGUUAACGAAUCCGACUAGGAACCAUGAGGUUGCAGGUUCGGUCCCUGCCCUUGCUCAGUGG
Molecule: long non-coding RNA, 1454 nt
Organism: Sus scrofa (pig)
Lineage: Eukaryota; Metazoa; Chordata; Mammalia; Artiodactyla; Suidae
Source: RefSeq, a predicted model, not a curated record